RNAcentral lists this ribosomal RNA (528 nucleotides) under uncultured Hyphomicrobiales bacterium. Its description in RNAcentral is "bacterial SSU rRNA". It matches the Rfam family "Bacterial small subunit ribosomal RNA", at positions 114 to 677 of the family's 1533-position model. The record is from RNAcentral. Lineage: Bacteria; Pseudomonadati; Pseudomonadota; Alphaproteobacteria; Hyphomicrobiales.
UGUAUAGGAAUCUACCUAGUAGUACGGAAUAAUUGUUGGAAACGGCAACUAAUACCGUAUACGCCCUACGGGGGAAAAAUUUAUUGCUAUUAGAUGAGCCUAUAUUAGAUUAGUUAGUUGGUGAGGUAAAGGCUUACCAAGACAAUGAUCUAUAGCUGAUCUGAGAGGAUGAUCAGCCACACUGGAACUGAGAUACGGUCCAGCCUCCUACGGGAGGCAGCAGUGGGGAAUAUUGGACAAUGGGCGAAAGCCUGAUCCAGCCAUGCCGCAUGGGUGAAGAAGGCCUUCGGGUUGUAAAGCUCUUUUAGUGAGGAAGAUAAUGACGGUACUCACAGAAGAAGUCCUGGCUAACUCCGUGCCAGCAGCCGCGGUAAUACGGAGAGGGCUAGCGUUAUUCGGAAUCAUUGGGCGUAAAGGGCGCGUANGCGGGUUAGUAAGUUAAAAGUGAAAUCCCAAGGCUCAACCUUGGAACUGCUUUUAAAACUGCUAGUCUAGAGAUUGAAAGAGGAUAGAGGAAUUCCUAGUGUA